ACGUGAGAGGAGACUUCCGGCCACUGCGUUGUAGUCGGCCCGGCUGCAAAGCGUUUUUCUGCAGGCUGUUUUCCCAGGUUCCCUCGGCCUGUACCUCGCGCACUCCUCUUGCUCCAGGUCCUUCAGUCUCCGCUCGUCUCACCGUAGGCUGUGACGACAUGAGCAACAAAGAAGGAUCAGGAGGGUUCAGGAAAAGGAAGCAUGACAAUUUCCCACAUAACCAAAGAAGAGAAGGGAAGGAUGUUAAUUCAUCUUCACCCGUGAUGUUGGCCUUUAAAUCAUUUCAGCAGGAACUUGAUGCAAGGCAUGACAAAUAUGAGAGACUUGUGAAACUUAGUCGGGAUAUAACUGUUGAAAGUAAAAGGACAAUUUUUCUCCUCCAUAGGAUUACAAGUGCUCCUGAUAUGGAAGAUAUAUUGACUGAAUCAGAAAUUAAAUUGGAUGGUGUCAGACAAAAGAUAUUCCAGGUAGCCCAAGAGCUAUCAGGGGAAGAUAUGCAUCAGUUCCAUCGAGCCAUUACUACAGAAGUUUACAGGCAAGAUCCUACUCACAGAGGCUCUUGGGAUCAAGGCUGACAGAAGCUCCAUCUGAAGACUUUUAUACUAUAGAGGCAGAAAAAGAGUGAUGAAUCAAGCACUGGCUUCUAAAGCUUCCGCCCAGAUGGGAAGCAUAUCUCCUCUGCUCACAUUUCCCUGACCAAAGCCAGUCACAUGGCCAUCCUCAGCUUCAGAGAGGUUGGGAAGGCAUUCCCACUAUGUGUCUGGAUGCCAGCAACUCAGAAAUAUUUGGCAGCCGGGAUUGCUUACCACCUGCAGCGUGCUUUCGGAGGCGGCGGCUGGCACGGAGGCCGGGCUACAUGAGAAGCUCGACAGGGCCUGGGAUCGGGUUCCUUUCCCCAGCAGUGGGCACACUGUUCCGGUUCCCAGGAGGGGUGUCUGGCGAGGAGUCCCACCACUCGGAGUCCAGGGCCAGACAGUGUGGCCUUGACUCGAGAGGCCUCUUGGUCCGGAGCCCUGUUUCCAAGAGUGCAGCAGCCCCUACUGUGACCUCUGUGAGAGGAACCUCGGCGCACUUUGGGAUUCAGCUCAGAGGUGGCACCAGAUUGCCUGACAGGCUUAGCUGGCCGUGUGGCCCUGGGAGUGCUGGGUGGCAGCAAGAGUUUGCAGCCAUGGAUAGUUCUGAGACCCUGGACGCCAGCUGGGAGGCAGCCUGCAGCGAUGGAGCAAGGCGUGUCCGGGCAGCAGGCUCUCUGCCAUCAGCAGAGUUGAGUAGCAACAGCUGCAGCCCUGGCUGUGGCCCUGAGGUCCCCCCAACCCCUCCUGGCUCUCACAGUGCCUUUACCUCAAGCUUUAGCUUUAUUCGGCUCUCGCUUGGCUCUGCCGGGGAACGUGGAGAAGCAGAAGGCUGCCCACCAUCCAGAGAGGCUGAGUCCCAUUGCCAGAGCCCCCAGGAGAUGGGAGCCAAAGCUGCCAGCUUGGACGGGCCUCACGAGGACCCGCGAUGUCUCUCUCGGCCCUUCAGUCUCUUGGCUACACGGGUCUCUGCAGACUUGGCCCAGGCCGCAAGGAACAGCUCCAGGCCAGAGCGUGACAUGCAUUCUUUACCAGACAUGGACCCUGGCUCCUCCAGUUCUCUGGAUCCCUCACUGGCUGGCUGUGGUGGUGAUGGGAGCAGCGGCUCAGGGGAUGCCCACUCUUGGGACACCCUGCUCAGGAAAUGGGAGCCAGUGCUGCGGGACUGCCUGCUGAGAAACCGGAGGCAGAUGGAGGUAAUAUCCUUAAGAUUAAAACUUCAGAAACUUCAGGAAGAUGCAGUUGAGAAUGAUGAUUAUGAUAAAGCUGAGACGUUACAACAAAGAUUAGAAGACCUGGAACAAGAGAAAAUCAGCCUGCACUUUCAACUUCCUUCAAGGCAGCCAGCUCUUAGCAGUUUCCUGGGUCACCUGGCAGCACAAGUCCAGGCUGCCUUGCGCCGUGGGGCCACUCAGCAGGCCAGCGGAGAUGACACCCACACCCCACUGAGAAUGGAGCCGAGGCUGUUGGAACCCACUGCUCAGGACAGCUUGCACGUGUCCAUCACGAGACGAGACUGGCUUCUUCAGGAAAAGCAGCAGCUACAGAAAGAAAUCGAAGCUCUCCAAGCAAGGAUGUUUGUGCUGGAAGCCAAAGAUCAACAGCUGAGAAGGGAAAUAGAGGAGCAAGAGCAGCAACUCCAGUGGCAGGGCUGCGACCUGACCCCACUGGUGGGCCAGCUGUCCCUGGGUCAGCUGCAGGAGGUCAGCAAGGCCUUGCAGGACACCCUGGCCUCAGCCGGUCAGAUUCCCUUCCAUGCAGAGCCACCGGAAACCAUAAGGAGGUGUGUAUGAGUGAGAAAUUCUGCAGCACCCUGAGGAAGAAAGUUAACGAUAUUGAAACCCAACUACCAGCCUUGCUUGAAGCCAAAAUGCAUGCCAUAUCAGGAAACCAUUUCUGGACGGCUAAAGACCUCACCGAGGAGAUUAGAUCAUUAACAUCAGAGAGAGAAGGGCUGGAGGGACUCCUCAGCAAGCUGUUGGUGUUGAGUUCCAGGAAUGUCAAAAAGCUGGGAAGUGUUAAAGAAGAUUACAACAGACUGAGAAGAGAAGUGGAGCACCAGGAGACUGCCUAUGAAACAAGUGUGAAGGAAAAUACUAUGAAGUACAUGGAAACACUUAAGAAUAAACUGUGCAGCUGCAAGUGUCCACUGCUUGGGAAAGUGUGGGAAGCUGACUUGGAAGCUUGUCGAUUGCUUAUCCAGAGCCUACAGCUCCAGGAAGCCAGGGGAAGCCUGUCUGUAGAAGAUGAGAGGCAGAUGGAUGACUUAGAGGGAGCUGCUCCUCCUAUUCCCCCCAGGCUCCACUCCGAGGAUAAAAGGAAGACCCCUUUGAAGGUAUUGGAAGAAUGGAAGACUCACCUCAUCCCCUCUCUGCACUGUGCUGGAGGUGAACAGAAAGAGGAAUCUUACAUCCUUUCUGCAGAACUUGGAGAAAAGUGUGAAGACAUAGGCAAGAAGCUAUUGUACUUGGAAGAUCAACUUCACACAGCAAUCCACAGUCAUGAUGAAGAUCUCAUUCAGUCUCUCAGGAGGGAGCUCCAGAUGGUGAAGGAAACUCUGCAGGCCAUGAUCCUGCAGCUCCAGCCAGCAAAGGAGGCGGGAGAAAGAGAAGCUGCAGCUUCCUGCAUGACAGCUGGUGUCCACGAAGCACAAGCCUGAGGAGUGACGGGAUGGGGGAGGGAGGUGGGCCACCAUGUUUGGACCCGGGGGGCUGCUCUUCCCUCCCCCGCCAUAGCUAAGAUGCCUGAAUCAAUUACGGAGAUACAGAGCCUUGAGGUCUUUCAGUGGAAAGGUGGUUCAUGUUCAUUCUCAUCAGUGUGAAACUGAGGAGUCUGCAAUUUGGAAUAUGGAGAGAGAGACUGAUUUGCUGAAUUUCCUUCUAAAUGUCACUCAAAAAUUUCUUUUCCAUGUCAUUCUUGGGAAUGUCUUCCACAGGAUUUGAGAAUAGUUUCAUCUCAGCCCCCAUUAGAGAGAAGUUGGGGUGAAUUCUGGAAAAAUGUCUCUUUUUCCUGUGCCAUUUGCCUUCUGCUGCAACGAAAAUAUUUCCUGAUUCAAGAUUCUAUAAAAAGGAAACCAAGCAUAAGACUCUGUCAUCAUACCUGUUACACGUUCCUACAGGUGCACAAUCUAAGAGAGCUAAUUAACCUCAGAGUCUGGAGUUAACAGCUUUUCACCUUACUUCUCCUGUGAUCUAAUAUUAUCUUAGAAAAAUUAAUAUGCAAUUUCCAAAAGAUAUUUUGGUAAGACAACAACCUCCCAGUGAUAUGCCACCUUUCAAUUUUCCUUUUGUGGCAAUGAUUGCAUCUGAAGAAAGGAUCCCUGAGAGUCUCUGUUUCAUCAGGACAUUCUGAAAUUUACCCACAGUGAGGCUGUGGAUGGAUCAGGGGACCUGUAUAAAAUGUUUGAGCCUGUUCCAUUUUCCCGUGGAACCUGUUUCACUCAAUGCCAGGCAGUGCAGCAUUUAGGAAAGCAGUGCAGUACUCAGUAAGGCAGUGCAGUACUCAGUAACACAAUACAGUACUCAGGCAGUGCAGUACUCAGUAAGACAGUGCAGUGCUCAGUAAGGCAGUGCAAUACUCAGUAACAGUGUAGUACUCAGUAACAGUGAAGUACUCAGUAAUACAGUACAGUAUUCAGUAAGGCAGUGAAGUACUCAGUAAUACAAUACAGUACUCAGUUAGGCAGUGCAGUACUCAGGAAUGCAGCACAGUACUCAGGCAGUGCAAUACUCAGUGCGGUACUCAGUAACACAGUGCAGUACUCAGUAACAGUGCAGUACUCAGUAACAGUGCAGUACUCAGUAAGGCAGUGCAGUACUCAGUAACACAGUGCAGUACUCAGUAAUACAGUACAGUACUCAGUAAGGCAGUAUGGUACUCAGUAAAGCAAUGCAAUGCUCAGUAACACAGUGCAGUGCUCAAUAAGGCAGUGCAGUGCUCAGUAAGGCAGUGAAUUGCUUAGUAACACAGUGUAGUGCUCAGUAGGACAGCAUAGUACUCAGUAACACAGGGCAGCUAGUACUCAGUACUAUAAGUACUGAGUACUUAUAUAGGCAAUGUAGUACUCAGUAAAUCAGUGCAGUACUCAGUAAUGCAAGGGCAUUUCAGGCUCCUGCUGGGCUGCUUCUUUGGCCCAGCUGGGACUCCUAUUGAGACAGCUGCAAAACAGGCUGAUUUCAAUUAGGCAGCACUUCCCAAAGUGCACUGAGGAAGGUGGCCCCAAGAGAAGCUCUCUAAACAAAGGAGUACCCUCUCUGGUCAAGUACCUUUGGUAAAUACACCAUACCAUAAUAUCUGCUUGGAGAACCACAAUGCACAUUAGCAUAUUAGUCUGAGAGAGAACUUAUAGUAAGGAAACUCACUUGAUUUUAUCUAACCUCAAACUUUCCAAGUUUAAUGGAUCGUGAAUUUUUUUCAUGUAACUCCUAUUCAUAUCCCAUAGAUCUAGUAUUGUACAGCACUGCAUUCUCUGAGGAAGUCCCAGUCCAAACUCUGAUUUACAUCACUUUAGAAACCACACUCACACUUUUGCAGAGUGUUGAGCUUAAUAACUACCUGCCACAGAUUGGUAAAUUUAAUCCAGUGGUUGUUCUGUUUGUGCUUCUGUUCUCAUUUAUGUGUUUAGGGAUAGUGAGGUUCCUGCCUUCACUAGGAUCCACGGAUAUGAGACCAUUUUUGUCAUUUCCUGAAGUCACACUGGCGUUUCCAGAAGGCAUCUGGUGCUUUGCUCAGCCUUCCAUGCUGUGCAGCACUUCUGUCCUCAGUCAAGGAGAUGGCCAUGCUUAAGCCAGCAAUUGGCUGGGGUCCAGGAAACAAAGCAAAAGCACAAUAUGUGAAUGUGCUGAUUGUGUUCCCUAUGGCUUUAUCUCGAGCAAAAUACACUCUACAUAUUUUAAUAAUAAGUAUAAUUAGCUUGUUCCUGGACUUCAUUUUCAAUGAUGAACCAAAUUCCUGAAUUAUUUAUAAUUGUGUCUAAAGAAAAUUAUGAACUGGUCACAUGGCACUUGGAAUCCUUGAGUUAAUUCCAGUGAAGCAAAACUUGGGAAGAGUCAGGAUUGGCCACAUUGCCAAUAACAAAUUCCUACUUCGACAUAUGUCUUUUCAAAAAGCCUCCCAGACACAAGACAUCUUAACCGUCACUAGCCCAAGUGUUUUGUAUUACUCAGACACCAUCAUGAAAUAAUUCUGUGAGGUCAUGAUGUAUUUGAAAAUUCUGCAAGUUAAUAACUGCCUUGAAUUGUUUGAACCCGAAAUAAGGGUUCUUUGGUACCUCUAGUAGAUAGUGUGUUCAUUUCCCUGCUGCAAAUUUUGAAGUAUUUGGGCAGGUGAGUCAUGUUUUAACCACAAGCCAUAACUCAUCUGUUGUCUUUGCUUGGUCUUAGAGUAUCAUUCAGAAAGUCCGCUAAGGGCCAGCGUGCUUCUUCUGGCUACACAACCUUCUCAGGACAAGCCCACUGUCUUAAGCCACUUUGACCCUGGGAGACACAGGACUGUGUAUCCUCAAUCAUACUAUACAGCAGUUUUUGUCAGGGGAACAUAAAAAUAUCCAAGAGAGGUUAGGGCUUAGAUUUAAAAGCAUCAAAACAACAACAAUGGAAAUUUAUGUUGGCGAUAGCCAAGACCACAAGCAAAAGCACAUACUGGAAAUGAUGAGUUAGAAUCUGAUUUGACUGGGAUGUUUUAUGAGAAUGUAAGUGUGAUAUUAUACUGUCUGCCUUGCUGGAAUGCUGGCUUUCAAAUGGUCACCCAUUUUUCUUUCACUGGCCUGAGUUAGGACAUGCUAUCAGUAAUAGUCCCAGUUCCAUCCAACUUUCUGAAAUUUCAUUUUUUUUUUUGAGAUGGAGUCUCUCUCUGUCACCCAAGUUGGAGUGCAGUGGCCCCGCAAUCUCGGCUCACUGCAACCUCUACCUCCCAGGUUCAAGCUAUUCUACUGCCUCAGCCUCCCAAGUAGCUGGGGUUACAGGCAUUUGCCACCGGGCCCUGAUGAUUUUUGUAUUUUUAGUAGAGACAGGGCUUCACCAUGUUGGCUAGGAGGGUCUCAAACUCCUGACCUCAGGCGAUCCACCCCCACCUCGGCUUCCCAAAGUGCUGAGAUUACAGGUGUGAGCCACCGCACCCGGCCAACUUUCUGAAAUUUCAAAACUGAAUUGAUCCUUCUCCAAAUUAGUAUAUACUAUUGGAAACUUGUCUUUCCCUGCAGUAAGGCUGGUUUCCCCACCCCAGAAACAUGUAACGGUUGGUACCAUGCUAAGCCCUUGCCAUGCUAAGCCCUUUACAGUCAUAUCCUAUAAUCCCCAUAUCAACCUUAUAAGGAAGGUGUUUGUAGAUGAUGCAACUGAGCCUUAAGAGGACUAAUUCCCUUUUUCUAAGGCACAGAGCUGGUAAAAUGUGAAGUAAUAGUGAACCUAACAGUCAGAGACAGGCAGCAUGCUCUUAACUAGUGCUCUUCCUAAAGUUCCUUUAAUGUCCUUUUGAGAUUUUGAGCCAUGGAACUUACUUGUUCACCUGGCUAAGAACUCAUGGCCACUGUGGAAAUCUUGGUUAGGGAGUCAAAGAAACUGAGCCUGGGGCAAACGAGGCUUCCCACACUGCCAGGGGAGCCUCACUGUGAAGUCUAGGCUCAGACAGGCAUCAACAAACCUAUUCACCCCACCAUCAUCCUGAUCUAACCAUUCCCCAGUCAUCCCAGGAAAACCACUCACAGCCUGACACUGGGCUGACUUUCUUGAAGAUCCUCAUCCAAUUGGUGUUUUUCAGAAGUGUUCCAAUAUUAUGAAUUCUGUGUUGUGGAGAAAAGCAACCAUGCAUUUACUGGUCAAUGCCUUCUUGUAUAUGUAAUUCAAUACUUUUACUUUUAAUAUCCUCACCUUAUCUAAUCUUUGAAUUUUGUCAUGUAAUUUAUUGCUUCAUUAAGGUUACUUUUUGUUAUACAAAAUAAAAGCUGAUAUCCAAGGCAUGGUGCAUCUUGAUGAUUUUUUGUCCUUUGAAGUAUGGAUGAUAGAAAAAUGUAUCAGGUUUAUUCAUCUCAUCUUUCUGUUACAGGAUGAUUAAUUGUACAGUUACAUCACACGAAACAUUUAUAAUAAAGUCAUGCUUUAGAA
Long non-coding RNA from Homo sapiens (human), 7672 nucleotides. RefSeq annotates it as TSNAX-DISC1 readthrough (NMD candidate). Lineage: Eukaryota; Metazoa; Chordata; Mammalia; Primates; Hominidae. The transcript has 16 exons. The record is from RefSeq and is marked validated.